AAAAAGAAAAAUCCUGAUUUCCGUGAUCAAUGUUUAACCAUCCGUCUUAUUCGAAAAUAAUAUAAAAAAAAUUAAAAAGACAAGUUACGCAUAAAGUAUUAAUCAUGUUUUAUCAUCUAACAACAAUAAAAAUACGAAUUAUAAAAAAAUUUCAUAUAAGACGGAUAGUAAAGUAAAAGUUGGACACGCAAACCUAGGGUUUAGCUUUUU
Molecule: non-coding RNA, 210 nt
Organism: Oryza nivara
Lineage: Eukaryota; Viridiplantae; Streptophyta; Magnoliopsida; Poales; Poaceae
Source: Rfam